This 641-nucleotide ribosomal RNA is filed under the name endosymbiont of Sphenophorus levis. RNAcentral's name for it is "bacterial SSU rRNA". It matches the Rfam family "Bacterial small subunit ribosomal RNA", at positions 367 to 996 of the family's 1533-position model. The record is from RNAcentral. Lineage: Bacteria; Pseudomonadati; Pseudomonadota; Gammaproteobacteria.
CACAUGGGGGAAACCUGAUGCAGCUAUACCGCGUGUGUGAUGAAGGUCUUAGGAUUGUAAAACACUUUCAGCAAGGGAAAAAAUUAUAUAAAUAAUACUUAUAUUAACUGAUAUUACCUGCAAAAGAAGUACCGGCUAACUCCGUGCCAGCAGCCGCGGUAAUACGGAGGGUACAAGCGUUAAUCGGAAUUAUUGGGCGUAAAGAGUACGUAGGUGGUAUAUUAAGUCAGAUGUGAAAUACUUAAGCUUAACUUAAGAACUGCAUUUGAAACUAAUAAACUAGAGUUUUAUAGAGGGGAGUAGAAUUCCAAGUGUAGCGGUGAAAUGCGUAGAUAUUUGGAGGAAUACCAGAGGCGAAGGCGACUCCCUGGGUAAUAACUGACACUGAGGUACGAAAGCUUGGGGAGCAAACAGGAUUAGAUACCCUGGUAGUCCAUGCUGUAAACGAUGUCAAUUUGAAGAUUGUAAUAUUAUUAUUUUUUAUAAUUUUCGUAGCUAACGCAUUAAAUUGACCGCCUGGGGAUUACGACCGCAAGGUUAAAACUCAAAUGAAUUGACGGGGACCCGCACAAGCGGUGGAGCAUGUGGUUUAAUUCGAUACAAACGCGAAAAACUUACCUACUCUUGACAUCUAUAAGUAA